Molecule: long non-coding RNA, 1351 nt
Filed under: Olea europaea subsp. europaea
Lineage: Eukaryota; Viridiplantae; Streptophyta; Magnoliopsida; Lamiales; Oleaceae
Source: RNAcentral
GUUGAAAGCUCCAACCGUACGAAUAUACCAAAAGAUUGCGGGCCUCGAUUACAUCGAAGAAGAGAACCCAUGAAUAUGCCACCUCCUUUUCUCUCUCUUUAAAAUCUGAAAGUUUCAGCUCAUUAAUUCGAGAAAAUAUUGUUUAUUCAUUCGUGGGAUUUUGGAUGGAGCCGCGCGUGGGAAAUAAGUUCCGGCUCGGACGGAAAAUUGGAAGUGGCUCAUUCGGAGAGAUAUAUUUAGGUAUGUUAGAAUAAAUUGAUUUUUUUCCCACUUUUCUCUGAUUGAAUUUGUGGUUUUUCUUGUAUUUAUUUUUUCAUUUAUUACGAAAAUUGUUUUUAUUUCCUGAAUUAUGCAGGUACUAAUAUACAGACAAAUGAAGAAGUUGCUAUUAAGCUUGUGAGUAUUAGAAGACCUCUUUCUUUUCAUUCUUAAUUUACUUUUACUUAUGGUUUUGUGAUUUUAAUUACCAUCAUAAUUGUGUGCUUUAAAAAAUAUCUGAAAUUGUUAUCUGUUAUUAAAUUCAUCAGUUCUAUUUCUUUUUUUUUUUUUCGUGGAAAGAAUUUGACUUUCUAAUCUUUAGAGAUGUAAGAAAGAGAAUAUGCCUCAUGCAUUUUAUAGCUGACGAAACUUACUGUAGAAUGUCAUUCAUUUGGGGAAUGGUUCAAGUGGAGAAAAGAGGUAAAAUUAUGUCUAUCCCAAUCUCUAUCUCAUUAACAUUUGCGGUCAGGUGGGGCUCCUUCAAGGUUCUUUCCUAUUCAAACUUAUGUGCUGAUAAUCAAAGAUUUCUUUUGUUAAACUUGAAACUUGUGUAGUUUAUGCAGCAGUUGUGGUCAAAUAGUUGCAUGUUCAAUAGUCGAGUCGAAAUGUCAUUUUUAGGAACACGUGAAUUCUUUUUGGACAUUUCUACUUGCUGAUUCCAUGUUCAUUUUUAUCGUGAUCUAGUUACCAUCUUGUUCUCUGUCCCCAAGAUGGUCUUGUGUGGAUGAACAUUGUUAUUUAUGAUUUUGUUGGACGUAAUAGAAAAUGUGGUCAAUAUGGCUUCGAAAAAUUCUAAGUUCUUCCAGAAGCAUUGUCUCAAACCUUGGUUUUUUGGGAGAGGAUGGUUGCUUUAACUUUUUAACACAAGGCAGAAGUUGCAGUUUGGACGUGGCAUGCAAAUCAAUGUUGAUUGUCUAGCAAAAAUGUCAUUCUUGGAAGCUUUUGAAGUACUUUUUAGACAAUGAUAUGUAUUGAUUCUGUUUCCUGUUUUAUUAUGGUCUAGUUAAUGUGGACCUAAGAUGGGUUCGUCUGGAGUUGAAGUUGUUUGUUUAUGGUGAAUGCAAUGUAAAGGGACAUAUGGUCAAUGGAAAAG